GACGAACUCUGGCGGCGUGCUUAACACAUGCAAGUCGAACGAAGAGCGAUGGAAGCUUGCUUCUAUCAAUCUUAGUGGCGAACGGGUGAGUAACGCGUAAUCAACCUGCCCUUCAGAGGGGGACAACAGUUGGAAACGACUGCUAAUACCGCAUACGAUCUAACCUCGGCAUCGAGGAUAGACGAAAGGUGGCCUCUAUUUAUAAGCUAUCACUGAAGGAGGGGAUUGCGUCUGAUUAGCUAGUUGGAGGGGUAACGGCCCACCAAGGCGAAGAUCAGUAGCCGGUCUGAAGGGGAUGAACGGCCACAUUGGGACUGAGACACGGCCCAGACUCCUACGGGAGGCAGCAGUGGGGAAUCUUCCGCAAUGGACGAAAGUCUGACGGAGCAACGCCGCGUGAGUGAUGACGGCCUUCGGGUUGUAAAGCUCUGUUAAUCGGGACGAAAGCCCUUCUUGCGAAUAGUUAGAAGGAUUGACGGUACCGGAAUAGAAAGCCACGGCUAACUACGUGCCAGCAGCCGCGGUAAUACGUAGGUGGCAAGCGUUGUCCGGAAUUAUUGGGCGUAAAGCGCGCGCAGGCGGAUUGGUCAGUCUGUCUUAAAAGUUCGGGGCUUAACCCCGUGAUGGGAUGGAAACUGCCAAUCUAGAGUAUCGGAGAGGAAAGUGGAAUUCCUAGUGUAGCGGUGAAAUGCGUAGAUAUUAGGAAGAACACCAGUGGCGAAGGCGACUUUCUGGACGAAAACUGACGCUGAGGCGCGAAAGCCAGGGGAGCGAACGGGAUUAGAUACCCCGGUAGUCCUGGCCG
This 805-nucleotide ribosomal RNA is filed under the name uncultured organism. RNAcentral describes it as "SSU rRNA". It matches the Rfam family "Bacterial small subunit ribosomal RNA", at positions 28 to 802 of the family's 1533-position model. The record is from RNAcentral.